This is a long non-coding RNA of Eurytemora carolleeae, 349 nucleotides long. RefSeq lists it as uncharacterized. The transcript is spliced from 5 exons. NCBI's taxonomy places the organism in Eukaryota, Metazoa, Arthropoda, Copepoda, Calanoida, Temoridae. The record is from RefSeq and is a predicted model, not a curated record.
AGAUUUCUAUACUCUUUUAUAUGAAAAUGGAUUCCUUUUUCUGAAUUAGUGCACAAAUCUAGAGUGAUGAAAAGUGUUCCUGCUCAGGGGGAUGUUUUGACCAGCUUGCUACAGUUUACAGAGAAUUCUACCUUUACUUCAACCCAGAGGAAUUUAUUGGAGCAGGAACUCAACCAUUCUCUUAAUUCCAUUCAGAAUGCAGAAGCCAUUUUUGAUCCAAUCUUCGAUUUCUGGAUUCCGGGGGUUCUGCUAAAUAUUGUUGGGUUAUUAGUUUCCUGUGAAAGGCACCCAACCAUCACAUCACCAGUAUCCCUUUUUUAUCACCUCUUCAUGCCUGAUUUACAACGGU